Molecule: long non-coding RNA, 220 nt
Filed under: Corvus moneduloides (New Caledonian crow)
Lineage: Eukaryota; Metazoa; Chordata; Aves; Passeriformes; Corvidae
Description: lncRNA (ENSCMUG00000020135.1)
Source: RNAcentral
UCUAACUAAAGCAGCCAGCUCCUGACAUUUGGAUAAUGGCUCAGCUGAAGCUCACACAUGCAGCAGGGUCAGCUGGAUAGCCAGGCAUCCCACAGCAUCCACUUCAGUCCAGAGUUGGCAUUUGAAGACAAGGAGUGAGACCAGCACAACUGCAAGCCUUUAAUACACCUUCCUGCCUGUGGUGGCCUGAUCCAAACCUUGAUGCAGCCUGAGGAAAGAU